CAAAGGAAUUGACGGGGCCCGCACAAGCGGCGGAGCAUGCGGAUUAAUUCGAUGCAACGCGAAGAACCUUACCAAGGCUUGACAUACACCGGUAACGCCCAGAGAUGGGUGCCCCUUUGUGGUCGGUGUACAGGUGGUGCAUGGUUGUCGUCAGCUCGUGUCGUGAGAUGUUGGGUUAAGUCCCGCAACGAGCGCAACCCUCGUCCUAUGUUGCCAGCGGGUCAUGCCGGGGACUCAUGGGAGACUGCCGGGGUCAACUCGGAGGAAGGUGGGGAUGACGUCAAAUCAUCAUGCCCCUUAUGUCUUGGGCUUCACGCAUGCUACAAUGGCCGGUACAAAGGGCUGCGAUACCGCGAGGUGGAGCGAAUCCCAGAAAGCCGGUCUCAGUUCGGAUUGGGGUCUGCAACUCGACCCCAUGAAGUCGGAGUCGCUAGUAAUCGCAGAUCAGCAACGCUGCGGUGAAUACGUUCCCGGGCCUU
This 479-nucleotide ribosomal RNA is filed under the name uncultured Curtobacterium sp. RNAcentral describes it as "bacterial SSU rRNA". It matches the Rfam family "Bacterial small subunit ribosomal RNA", at positions 902 to 1382 of the family's 1533-position model. The record is from RNAcentral. Lineage: Bacteria; Bacillati; Actinomycetota; Actinomycetes; Micrococcales; Microbacteriaceae.